AGUGCAGGCGGUUUUCUAAGUCUGAUGUGAAAGCCUUCGGCUUAACCGGAGAAGUGCAUCGGAAACUGGAUAACUUGAGUGCAGAGGAGGGUAGUGGAACUCCAUGUGUAGCGGUGGAAUGCGUAGAUAUAUGGAAGAACACCAGUGGCGAAGGCGGCUACCUGGUCUGCAACUGACGCUGAGAUCGAAAGCAUGGUAGCGAACA
RNAcentral lists this ribosomal RNA (205 nucleotides) under uncultured bacterium. RNAcentral describes it as "partial 16S ribosomal RNA". It matches the Rfam family "Bacterial small subunit ribosomal RNA", at positions 568 to 774 of the family's 1533-position model. The record is from RNAcentral.